Molecule: long non-coding RNA, 2568 nt
Organism: Mastomys coucha (southern multimammate mouse)
Lineage: Eukaryota; Metazoa; Chordata; Mammalia; Rodentia; Muridae
Exons: 2
Source: RefSeq, a predicted model, not a curated record
GGGCUCCCCUUCCGACGCGCACCCCGCCGCCGAGGGGGAGGGGACGCCGCGACGGCCAACGUCCAACGGCUCGACCGCCCCGCGGCGUUCUGCGGGGCGCUCACAGCCGAGCCCGCGUCGAGCCCACGGCCGCCGCCUCCGCCGCCCGGGGCAUCGCGCUGUCAGGGCACUCGCCGGCUUCCCGCGGCUCCUCGGCACUGGCGGGGAUCGCCCGCGCGACAGGACCCGGCGACCACGGGUAGCGCCGGGACUUUGGCCUCUUGAAGAGAGAAAGGGGCCUCGGGGCGCCUCGCGCUGCGCGUAGCCCGCGCCACCGCAAACGCCGCCGCCGCCUCCGCCGCUGCCGCCGCCACCUCGACCCGCUUCUCACUCCGAAUGGCAACUAAUCCAGUGUCGGCGCCCCGCCUCCGGCCCCGCCUCUGGGCGGUCCGGACCCCCGGGCUCCUGCGGCUGCGAGCUCCCUGAUUGGCAGCGCCAACCUACUACAGGAUUGCAAUGAUUGGUUGGGCAGUCGGAGUGAGAGGAGAUUCGGCCAAUUGCAGUACCACGUUUCCGCUCAGGGGGCGGAGCAUGGGAGUGGAUGAGAGAGGAGGGCCUCGUGCGGAGGGAGGGACCUCAGAGUUGACAGCCUUUGAGGUGAGGGUCAGGCUAGGAAAGUGGGUCCAUACGUGCCCUGCGCGUGCUCCGGACACCCAAAGGCACGCGCGCACUGCGAUAAGCAAGUUGCAAGGGUUCCACCCUCCAGUGCUCUCUACAACCUGAGGCUGAGGACGCUGAAGCCAAACUAACUUUGCAAAUACACCUGCAUCCGGGUGAGGUGGAGAACAUCGCAUUCUAAAUUGUAGACGUCGUUGACAAGACAAUUUACAUCAUCACAUCAUCAGAUUUAUUAAUGGAAGGCACCUAGUUUACUAUCCAGGAGCAGAUGGUCUCUUGGGAGAAAUACCAGGCAUAACAUAACAAUUCAUUGUGGUCAUUUCCUCUGUGUGAUGGGGCUGGGGUUAUUCUUCUGCAAGGAAAAUGAGAGGUACAAAGAUUUUAGAUGGUCAUAAAAAAGUAUAUAAAACCCUAAUCAGGAAUAAUUAAAGCUCUACAUCAAAUACCUCCUAUCAAUUCAUAUGAGAUAAACAAAAAAAAAUAAGAUUUUACAAAAUAAAGAAGUGGCAUGUCAGAUUGGUGUAUGCCUGGUGUCUGCCCACACUGACAAGCUUCCUGAUUUCAGGCACUAAAUGGUCAGUUUCAUUCAGAGGAGCCACCUCUCUCUGCUUCCCUGUGUGGUCAGACAAAAAUAAAAUAAAAUUAAAAGAAAGAAAAAAGAAAAAGCACAGCAAAUUAUUUUUUAGAAAAAACAUUGAUGAUGCCUAAUCAAAAAACAAAACAAAAAAAAUAGCAUCUAGCACUAUAUCCCACUACAUUAGUCAUAGUUCCUCGCUUUAUCACAUAUAAAAAUAAUAGCUAAUAUUUACUAGACAUUCACCACGUGCCAGCCACUGUUCUCAUUAUUAUGUGUUAACUCAUUCAUUCUUCACAUAAUCCACAAGGUAUGUGCUGUUAUUAUCCUCACUGUUUUCCCAUCUGGGGCACAAAGACACUAAUUGUCUUGUCUGAGAUUACUCAGCUAAGUGGAAGCUGAGAACUGAGACCAGAGGGACCAGGGCAAGAGUCUGAAGAAGCCCUGUGCCUUAGUGCCUCCAAGCAUAAGAUGUAUGUUCUGAUCAAGAGACUUUAUGGUAGCUCACAGAUGUCCAAAAGAGUUUUUAUAACUGAAUAGCAGCUCCCUUUUCUUACUUUCCAGAAAAACAUAUAUUUUAAUUAUAUAUAGAACAAAAUGACUUGAAAUUUUGACAUAAUUUGUCUAUUGUAUUAGUUUUUCCAUCUAAAGAUAAAUGGUUUCAUAUUAAGUUAUAACCUUUUGUGAAUAGAAACAAUAAAUGGCUUUGGUGGUUUUUUGGAAUAGCAAGAAUAAGAUUAUAACAAAUUUAUUCUAAAAAUGUAUAAAGGUUUCAAACCAUUGGCAAGUGUCUAAAGUUGGUGAUUUGAUUAUAGCAUAGCUUCAUUAUAGAAAUGCCAUCUCUGGUCACUUCCAUCUGAGGGUGGAACAACCUCAGCACAUUAGAUUCUAAAGUCAUAGUGAGCCACAGUUGGCAAUGAUCAGUAGCAUUUCGUUUGGAUCUAAAACAAUGUAACUGGCCAUAAUUUUAGGUUUCUAGUUCAUUCAGAUCUAACAUAAUGAAUUUAAAUUGUACCUAAAAUCUAAAUGAGAGAAUUUGUAUGAGUUUUUAAGUGCCAUUUUGUUAUGCAUCUGGUGCUGGAGAUUGAACUCAGAGCCUUGCUUUGGUUGCUCAAAGUGCUGUGCCGCUGAAUUACCCCCAGAUACUAUCUGAUCUUACAAUGCUAUUUUCACUUUCUGGUAUCUCAUCAUGAGUUAUUUGAAAUUCCAAUCAUUUUCUCUUUAUUCAAGAAAACAUGGUUCCCUCUAAAAACUUUAUUCUCAUGAAAUAAGGAGUGAUGGUCAUACCUAAGAAUUUAAAUGAGCUACAAUAAAUGCAACACCUGCCUUCAAAUGCC